This 76-nucleotide transfer RNA is filed under the name Anaerotruncus sp. AF02-27. Its description in RNAcentral is "tRNA-Thr". It matches the Rfam family "tRNA". Rfam says of the family: Transfer RNA (tRNA) molecules are approximately 80 nucleotides in length. Their secondary structure includes four short double-helical elements and three loops (D, anti-codon, and T loops). The record is from RNAcentral. Lineage: Bacteria; Bacillati; Bacillota; Clostridia; Eubacteriales; Oscillospiraceae.
GCUGAUAUAGCUCAGUCGGCAGAGCACAUCCUUGGUAAGGAUGAGGUCAUCGGUUCGAAUCCGAUUAUCAGCUCCA